UCCGACUUAGAAUCGGCAGUCUCCUGUGAAAAAUACAACACAGGACAUGGGUUGCGCUCGUUUACGGACUUAACCGAACACCUCAAGGCACGAGCUGACGACAACCAUGCAGCACCUGUCACCGAGUUCCAAAAGGCACUUCCCCGUUUCCGGGAAAUUCUCGGGAUGUCAAGCCUAGGUAAGGUUCCUCGCUUAGUAUCGAAUUAAGCCAGAUGCUCCACCGCUUGUGUGGGUCCCCGUCUAUUCCUUUGAGUUUUAAUCUUGCGACCGUACUCCCCAGGCGGGAUACUUAAUGCGUUUGCUUUGGCACUGAAGGGGUCGAAUCCUCCAACACCUAGUAUCCAUGGUUUACGGCGUGGACUAC
Molecule: unclassified non-coding RNA, 364 nt
Filed under: uncultured bacterium
Lineage: Bacteria
Description: contains 16S-23S intergenic spacer region
Source: RNAcentral